AUAUCAAUAAGCGGAGGAAAAGAAACCAACUGGGAUUCCCUUAGUAACGGCGAGUGAAUAGGGAAAGCUCAAGCUUAAAAUCAGGUGCGUAUCGCAUCCGAAUUGUAGCCUCAGGAAUGAAUACAGUUUUGGUGGGUUUCGGUUAAAGUUCCCUGGAAAGGGACGCCCUAGAAGGUGAGAGCCCUGUACAAUCGAAACACCCACCUCUCAACUCUAUUCAAUUCUCAGAGUCGGGUUGCUUGGGAGUGCAGCCCUAAAUGGGUGGUAAACCCCACCUAAAGCUAAAUAUUGGUGAGAGACCGAUAGCGCACAAGUA
This 316-nucleotide ribosomal RNA is filed under the name uncultured eukaryote. RNAcentral describes it as "partial large subunit ribosomal RNA". It matches the Rfam family "Eukaryotic large subunit ribosomal RNA", at positions 40 to 350 of the family's 3401-position model. The record is from RNAcentral.